GUGUUGCUGAAUAUGUCAGACUCAAAUCUGGAUAGCAGCAAGAAGAAUUUCUUUGAGGGGGGAAGUAGCUGAUGAGGAAAGUGUGAUUUUGACAUGGAUGCCAGUUAAAGAUGACCCAAAUAUGGAACCAACGGAACCCAAGUGUUUCUUCAACUUCUACUGUCACACUGGAGAAGCCUAAGAAAUACAAUCAAGGUCAUCUACUUCAAACAAAUGAACAAUUUACAGCUCCGCCAAAGGCUGGAUGCAAAAUACCAGCCCUUCCCUUGCCGGCCACUUUGCCUCCCAUUAGUAAGGUGUGUCGGGACACUUCGCGGGACUGGUGUCAACAACUUGGUUUGAGUACCAAUGGCAAGAAAAUAGAAGUUUAUCUGAGGCUCCGCAGGCAUGCUUAUCCUGAACAACAGCAAGAUAUGCCUGAAACGUCACAAGAGACCAGAUUACAGCGAUGUUCGAAGAAACACAAGGCAGUGACCGAGAGAGCAAGAGGCUUCAGAAAAGUUAUGAGACGAAUGAAAGAACAGAAGAGACUAAUACAGUUGAAGUGAUAAUUUCAGCGCAGGGAACCAUGUUGGCAUCAUGGGCAAGAAUUGCUGCAAGAGCUGUUCAGCCGAAGGCUGUGAAUUCAUGUUCCAUUCCUGUUUCUGUUGAGGCUUUUUCGAUGCAAGCCUCUGGUGUCAGGUGCUGUGUGGUCCAUGGCAGAUGUCUCUCAGCAGACACAAAGGGCUGGGUACGCCUGCAGUUUCAUGCAGGUCAGGCCUGGGUGCCUACCACUCACAGGAGGAUGAUUUCUCUCUUCUUGUUACCUGCCUGCAUUUUCCCAUCGCCAGGCAUAGAAGAUAAUAUGUUAUGCCCCGACUUUGCUAAAAGGAAUAAGAAGAUGAAAAGAUUAAUGACAAUGGAGAAGCAGCAGCAACCUCUUUUAAUACAAUGUACUAGAGAAGGAGGGAUGUACUUUCAGACCACGUAACCUAUUAUGAAGGAACAGUAGAGGAGACGAUUUGAAUGAAUCCUCGUGAUCUACAAAACAAAAUCAGAGUGACUAGGACUCCAUAGUGAAAAUGGUUGACCAGUGACACAGUACCAUCUAAAGAGCCCCUUUCUGUAAGUCUGAAAACCCAUUAAAAUAAAGUCACUGAAAAGAAAAAAGUGUAUCAUCCAGUAUCCCAUCUGAGAAAAAUACUAUAGAAAGAACCUUAAGCAAAUCAAAAAUGAACUGAAAUAGGUAACUCAAGAAAGGAGAUGAAGAGAGAAGUUGGU
RNA transcript from Mandrillus leucophaeus (drill), 1260 nucleotides. It is a transcript of the gene named developmental pluripotency-associated protein 2 pseudogene, with no coding region annotated. The transcript has a single exon. Lineage: Eukaryota; Metazoa; Chordata; Mammalia; Primates; Cercopithecidae. The record is from RefSeq and is a predicted model, not a curated record.